UACGGAAGGCAGCAGUGGGGAAUAUUGCACAAUGGGCGAAAGCCUGAUGCAGCUAUGCCGCGUGUAUGAAGAAGGCCUUAGGGUUGUAAAGUACUUUCAUCGGGGAGGAAAAAACAAAACUAAUAAUUUUAUUUCUUGACGUUACCCGAAAAAGAAGCACCGGCUAACUCCGUGCCAGCAGCCGCGGUAAUACGGAGGGUGCUAGCGUUAAUCAGAAUUACUGGGCGUAAAGAGCACGUAGGUGGUUUUUUAAGUCAGAUGUGAAAUCCCUGGGCUUUAACCUAGGAACUGCAUUUUGAAACUGAAAUACUAGAGUAUCGUAGAGGGAGGUAGAAUUCUAGGUGUAGCGGUGAAAUGCGUAGAUAUCUGGAGGAAUACCUGUGGCGAAAGCGGCCUCCUAAACGAAUACUGACACUGAGGGUGCGAAAGCGUGGGGAGACAAACAGGGAUUAGAUA
RNAcentral lists this ribosomal RNA (456 nucleotides) under uncultured bacterium. RNAcentral's name for it is "bacterial SSU rRNA". It matches the Rfam family "Bacterial small subunit ribosomal RNA", at positions 340 to 784 of the family's 1533-position model. The record is from RNAcentral.